Erigeron canadensis is the source of this 774-nucleotide long non-coding RNA. RefSeq lists it as uncharacterized. The transcript is spliced from 3 exons. The record is from RefSeq and is a predicted model, not a curated record. Lineage: Eukaryota; Viridiplantae; Streptophyta; Magnoliopsida; Asterales; Asteraceae.
AUCUUAAUACUAUAUAAAUAAAGGUUUUCCAAGUUAGUUAAUUUGCUAUGUAGCACCUCUAACAUUGCAAGACAGGGCCUCAAAUCCGACGUGGCAUGACUGAAAACUUUUCAGGCUGCAGUUACUUUUAUGUUAGCGGUUAUUACAAGUCUCAUGUUUUCUACACAACGAUCCCUUUUUCCAAAUCUAUGGAUUCAGCAUCAGCAAUGGAAUUAUCAAAGGCGUCAACAACGAAUUAGGGUUGGCUUUGAUUUGAGUUACUCUAUAAGGUCACCGGAGAACAAAAGCUCACCGGAGAAAGUGAUCGGAAUCACAGGCUCGCGAAAAAAGAUAUCAAAUCAAGAACUCCAACUGCCAUUGAUUUUAGGAGGAAGAGAAUCAAAUAACUAGCCGGAAUCUCAAUCGUAAUCUCAAUUGGAGGUGUAACCGGAAUCGAAAGCUCAUCGGAGAAUCAACGGCUCUGAUACCACUGUUACGGUUGGAAUUCACAGAAAAGAAGAUAGUUUUUGAUAUCAUUUUCCCAGGUCGUUGACGGCGCAUGGAAAUGAUAAGGUCAAUCGUGUAAUUGUGUAAGAGAUCUCGGUGUUUUAAGGCCUCUUUAUGCCAAGAAAAACAUAUCUGCAAAUCAGGUCUAGCAUUUGUUUGAAGUCUGAAGAUUGGUAAAAAAAAAUUGUAUUAUCCCUUAUCUGGUUUAUUCAACACUUUAGCUAUUAAUGCAUAAAACUUUAACUAAAAUUCACAUUUUACAACGAGGGAUAUGGCAUAUGUCUUAGA